This is a long non-coding RNA of Drosophila ananassae, 642 nucleotides long. RefSeq lists it as uncharacterized. Lineage: Eukaryota; Metazoa; Arthropoda; Insecta; Diptera; Drosophilidae. The transcript is spliced from 2 exons. The record is from RefSeq and is a predicted model, not a curated record.
GUGUGGAUUUCCAACAGGGCACGCAUGCGAAGAGCGGUCAUAAGAUAGACAUAGAAAAGCUUAAAAGCUUAUCACCGAAUAUCAUUGAUCUGCGGUCACCUUGGAUAAGUGAACGAAACAUCACGCGAUUCUUAUCUAUGUUUUUGCAUAUCGAGAUAAGAGUGCCGUUAUGUAAAAGCUUUUUCUCUAGCAUAGUUAGGGCUAGAUUUGCAUAGGAGAGCUUUGACAUUUUUUGACGAGCUUGAAAGCAAUACGGCUGCAAUUGUAAGCCAAGUUUAAUAAAUAUUUAAAUUGUGCUGAAAAUUAAGUAAAAUCAAAUCCCAGACGAAUUAUCGGGAUUCAUUUAAUAAGUGUUUAGUUAUUUUAUGCCAGUGCCACGUGCCAGUGCGGCUAGUACCAAAUUAUGUAAGCGGCUAGCACCAGUUUUUUUUAAUCGGCUAGUACAGGAUUAUGUAAUCGUCUAGCACCCUAUUAUGCAACCGGCUAUCUGGAGGCCGAAAUGGAUGAAAUAUGGGAAUUGAAUAGUGCAGAGAUUCGACGCGGGAUCGCAAUCUUUUGAUAAAUAUUUUUUUGGAUUCGACGACAAGCCCCCUUUUCGCUACACGGAGAGAAAACUCCAGCGAAUUAUUGAUAAAUUUGUAA